RNAcentral lists this ribosomal RNA (253 nucleotides) under uncultured bacterium. Its description in RNAcentral is "partial 16S ribosomal RNA". It matches the Rfam family "Bacterial small subunit ribosomal RNA", at positions 524 to 776 of the family's 1533-position model. The record is from RNAcentral.
UACGGAGGGGGCUAGCGUUGUUCGGAAUUACUGGGCGUAAAGCGCACGUAGGCGGCUUUGUAAGUUAGAGGUGAAAGCCCGGGGCUCAACUCCGGAAUUGCCUUUAAGACUGCAUCGCUAGAAUUGUGGAGAGGUAAGUGGAAUUCCGAGUGUAGAGGUGAAAUUCGUAGAUAUUCGGAAGAACACCAGUGGCGAAGGCGGCUCUCUGAACCGUAACUGACGCUGAGGCGCGAAAGCGUGGGGAGCAAACAGG